UACGUAGGUGGCAAGCGUUGUCCGGAUUUACUGGGCGUAAAGAGCGCGUAGGCGGCCUGUUAAGUCGAACGUGAAAUCCCCGGGCUCAACCCGGGAACUGCGUCCGAUACUGGCAGGCUUGAAUCCGGGAGAGGGAUGUGGAAUUCCAGGUGUAGCGGUGAAAUGCGUAGAUAUCUGGAGGAACACCGGUGGCGAAGGCGGCAUCCUGGACCGGUAUUGACGCUGAGGCGCGAAAGCCAGGGGAGCAAACGGG
Molecule: ribosomal RNA, 253 nt
Filed under: uncultured bacterium
Lineage: Bacteria
Description: partial 16S ribosomal RNA
Rfam family: Bacterial small subunit ribosomal RNA
Source: RNAcentral